GAUGAACGCUGGCGGCGUGCCUAAUACAUGCAAGUCGAGCGAACAGAUAAGGAGCUUGCUCCUUUGACGUUAGCGGCGGACGGGUGAGUAACACGUGGAUAACCUACCUAUAAGACUGGGAUAACUUCGGGAAACCGGCGCUAAUACCGGAUAACAUAUUGAACCGCAUGGUUCAAUAGUGAAAGGCGGCUUUGCUGUCACUUAUAGAUGGAUCCGCGCCGUAUUAGCUGGUUGGUAAGGUAACGGCUUACCAAGGCAACGAUACGUAGCCGACCGGAGAGGGUGAUCGGCCACACUGGAACUGAGACACGGUCCAGACUCCUACGGGAGGCAGCAGUAGGGAAUCUUCCGCAAUGGGCGAAAGCCUGACGGAGCAACGCCGCGUGAGUGAUGAAGGUCUUCGGAGCGUAAAACUCUGUUAUCAGGGAAGAACAAAUGUGUAAGUAACUGUGCACAUCUUGACGGUACCUGAUCAGAAAGCCACGGCUAACUACGUG
Molecule: ribosomal RNA, 497 nt
Filed under: uncultured bacterium
Lineage: Bacteria
Description: partial 16S ribosomal RNA
Rfam family: Bacterial small subunit ribosomal RNA
Source: RNAcentral